UACGAAGGGAGCUAGCGUUGUUCGGAAUUACUGGGCGUAAAGCGCGCGUAGGCGGCUUUGUAAGUUAGAGGUGAAAGCCCGGGGCUCAACUCCGGAACUGCCUUUAAGACUGCAUCGCUUGAAUCCGGGAGAGGUGAGUGGAAUUCCGAGUGUAGAGGUGAAAUUCGUAGAUAUUCGGAAGAACACCAGUGGCGAAGGCGGCUCACUGGACCGGUAUUGACGCUGAGGUGCGAAAGCGUGGGGAGCAAACAGG
RNAcentral lists this ribosomal RNA (253 nucleotides) under uncultured bacterium. RNAcentral describes it as "partial 16S ribosomal RNA". It matches the Rfam family "Bacterial small subunit ribosomal RNA", at positions 524 to 776 of the family's 1533-position model. The record is from RNAcentral.